RNAcentral lists this ribosomal RNA (492 nucleotides) under uncultured bacterium. RNAcentral's name for it is "partial 16S ribosomal RNA". It matches the Rfam family "Bacterial small subunit ribosomal RNA", at positions 29 to 507 of the family's 1533-position model. The record is from RNAcentral.
AGUGAACGCUGGCGGCAUGCCUAAUACAUGCAAGUCGAACGGCAGCACAGUAAGCUCUCUCCCCUACCGGUGGCGAGUGGCGGACGGGUAACGCAUACAUCGGCAUCUUCUUUUUCGUGGGGUAUAUCGUUGAGCCACUUCCACUAAUACCUCAUACGACCAACCGGUUAAAGCAGUGGUUCAUGGCACCUUUCCUGUUUUUAUUAGCCGAUGUCGCAUUAGCUAGUUGGCUGGGUAAAGGCACACCAAGCCUACGCACCGUAGCUGACCUGAGAGGAUGAUCAGCCACACUGGAACUGAGACACGGUCCAGACUCCUACGGGAGGCAGCAGUAGGGAAUAUUGGGCAAUGGGCGAAAGCCUGAUCGAGCCAAGCCGCGUGAGUGAAGAAGGCCUUCGGAUUGUAAAACCCUUUUGUUAGGGAAGAAAAAAUGUAGGAGUAACUAUGGACGUAUUGACGGUACCAAAACAGAAAGCAACGGCUAACUUCGUG